Molecule: RNA transcript, 4495 nt
Organism: Cercocebus atys (sooty mangabey)
Lineage: Eukaryota; Metazoa; Chordata; Mammalia; Primates; Cercopithecidae
Gene name: nascent polypeptide-associated complex subunit alpha, muscle-specific form-like
Exons: 1
Source: RefSeq, a predicted model, not a curated record
CUCAAAAAAUAAAUAAAUGAAACUGAAAAACAAACAGUAAAAGUAUAUCAUUUUUAAAUUAUGUAAAUAGAUAUCAGAAGAAGCACCUAUGGAUGCUCUGAGAGCAGGACACAGGAGGGAAAGUCAUAAAGAGAUGAGACAGAGGACUGGAGUUUUCAUUACAGGUUAUCUGAGUACCUGGCUUGGGGCCAGAAAAAUUCAGAUUUCAAAUCUUGUUGAAUUUCAGAUUUUGUCAGAUUUUGGAAGACUUGCAUUGCCAGUUGGGCAUCCCAAAUCCAAAUAUUUAAAACUCAAAAUGCUCCAAUGAACAUUUUCUUUGAGAGUCAUGCUGGCACUCAAAAAGUGCCAUUUAACAUUUUGGGUUUCAGAUUUUCAGAUUCGGGAUGCUCAACCUGUAUAACCCUUGUAGUACAAUUUUCUUUUUAACUGCACAGCUGUAUAAGUCAAAUAUUAAUUUUUUUAAAAAAGGGAACAAAACCAGGGGUCCUUUGUUAUUCAUUACAAUUAAUAUCCCACAAAUAUCUGAGCAUCACGAUGUGUCAGAUACUUUUCUAGGUGCUAGGAAGACAACAGUGGACAAAAUAAGCCCUUGCUCUCAUGAAGCUUACAAUCAGAGAGGGAGGCAGAUAAUAAACUAAUGUAUGUUCUAAUGUCAGAUAAAGCAAUGAUGUAAAAAUAAAUAAAUAAAGCAAGGCAAAGGCACAGAGUACGAUGGGGGAUGCUAUUUAAUAGGGUUUUCAGAAAAGACUUCUUCCAGAACAACAAAAGGAAAUCAAACUAAAGAAAAUCUGUUCUGGAAAAAAAAAAAGGUCAUGUAAGUGAAAUAAUAGAAAGCUAUCAAUUAAAUUCAAGAUGAGAGAUUCAAGUCUUUUACACUCCAAAAUAAUGUAUUAUUCAAAAGCCAGAACCAAAAGUUUCUCUGUAAUGAAAUAAACUGCCAAGCCUCUUCAAGCUAAGUCAUAUGAACACUGCUAUAUCCACAUACCUGUAUGUCUAUAUAGAUCCUUCCCAUAUCCCUAACUAGGUACUUAGUAAAGUAACUAUGUAAAUUUAUAUUCAAACUUUUUUCUUUCCAUAGAAUAGGUAAAUGUAACACAUUUUAAAUUCCAGUGUUUUAUUUCUAUUAUGUAGUUAAAAGUUUUCCUAAAUCAAAAGCAUUAAAUCAAAAAGAUUCCACAUUAAUUCCAUGGUACUAAAAUUUAUCACACCCAAUCUUUAUUCUCUCACUAAAAAGGAAACAACAGGAAAUUUAAGACACAUUUAAAGAAACAAUUUAUAGGGUAAUGCAAUACAUUCAUUUUCCUCUCCAAGGAACCUCAGGCUGGGGUAGUUUCAAGCUAUUUGAAUUAUCUUUCAUUGAAAAUUAACUUAAAAAAAAAGUAGUCAGAUUAAAGUGACAAUUUUAUUCCAAAUACAGGCAUUACACAGUAUCUCAUAUUCAAAAAAUGGAUACAUUUCAACAUAUCUUAUUCUCAAACCGUGUAUCAUUAAAAUUAAAAGUAAACCCAACUAUGUGUCUAUUUUACAUAGCAAAAAAAAAAAAAAAAAGCAUGCUUUGGGAGAAAAUAAAUGGGUUUAAAGUUUAACUCACAAAAGAAAACAAAUCUGAUUAAAUAAAUUUCAAUUAAUAGUUUAAGGUUUAAAAGUUAUUUUAAAAAUUUCUGGAAAACCAGAUUGUCAAGGAAUUGGUUCACUCAUAGUCAGCCAGAAAGAAAACGGUGAUAUUUUAAAAUUUUAGACCAAAAAAAAAUUUAGAUUCCCUUAUAAAUAAGUGCCAAGAGAGAAUAUUUUCAGCAAACAUUUCAUUUAACUACAUAAACCAAAAGAAUAAGGCUGUCUAACCACAUGUAAACUAUGCAUCAUCUGACUUCAGGUAGAAUAUUUAUCUUUGGUAUACUUGGUAACCAGAAACCCAAAGUAUAUAAACAUAGGCAUAUUUUAAAAACAUUUGUCAAUGUUUUUGUUCUCCAGGCAAUAAUUCCCACUAUCCUCAGAAAGAGAAAAACAAUAUCCUUAAUCAAAAAGUUAUCAGAGGAGUUUCUACUUCUUAAACUUUUAAACUAACAUUUUUGCCCACUUACUAUUAAACUCCAUCAGGGCACAGACCUGUCUCUUCCCCUGUUGCGUCCCCAACCUCUAGGGGACUAACUGGCACCAAGUAGGUACCCAAUAAAUACGUGCAGAAUGAACUGAGCCUCUGGAAAAAGCUUAAGUGUUUUAAGUUGCAAUAGGACAAUUUCACCUAUAUAUCGAUCAUUCACUACACUCAACUCUAAUGACGUAAUAAAAAGACUCGUACCAGGUAUUUAAAAACACACACACAAAUAUAUUACUCACAUAUGUAUCUGACUCACAAAGCCAGAUAUUUUCUCUCAGGAAAAUUUGUUGUAUUCUUUCGAGUAUUACAUAUAAAUAUUAGAAAAGCAUGUUGUGUCCUGACAAAUGCAAGUGUUAUCUUCAAAUUUAUGUUGCAAUCUGAAAAAAAUCUAGGCAAACUAAACAGUAUUUCCAGGGUCCUGCCCCAAAGUAUUACUAAAAGUCAAAUUCCUUAAUUCAAUGAAAAGUGAAAUAAGGCACAGUGGGGCUCACGCCUGUAGUCCCAGCUCCUUGGGAGCCUGAGGCGGGAGGAUCCCUUGAGCUCAGGAGUUUGAGACUAGCCUCAGCCAAAUAAGAAGAAUCCACCUUAAAAGAAAAAAAAAAGUGGAAUAUAAUGGAAAAAACGUACAUUUUACCGUUUAAAAACUAUGCUGAAUUUUAAAAAGAAAAAAUGAACUAGGCUUAAAAUACACUGAAAUUAUUUAUCCCAAAUGGCAUUAAUGCCUUUACAUCUUGAUAUUUGGAUCUGCCUAAAAAGACCUUUGAAGCUACAUGAUAAACUUCAUGCCUACAAAGCUUGAGUUAGAGGUUAUCUUUGUUAAAAUAAUACUCUUUGGAUGUUUAGUUUUGGAAGUUUCCUCAUAAUUCUAAAGUAAGAUAUUUAGCAGUAAGAGUAAUACACUUAUAUGUACGACUCUAUAGCACUUGUUCAAUAGCACUUGUACAAGCAUAAUUAUCUUGAGUGGAACAGGCUUUAUAAUGAGCAAGCUAUGAUCUGCCUAACAGCAAUACUCUGCAAACACGGACUGAAAAGUUUCCUAACAUUCUGAUGGUCAUCUUCAAAGAAACUUGAACAGGAAUCGAUCUAAUGGUCGAUGAGACAGAAAAAUACCCAAGACAACUCACAAACACUGGUAAGAAAACAAGGCUCUCUAUAGCAAUUAAAGUGUUGGGGAAAAAAAAUCCAGGGAGCAUAAACGAUAAAGCUCAAUUAACUGCUGCCUGUAGGUUUCUACUUUAUGGUCUUAAAUACACACUAGGCAUUAGGUAUUUCUUUUAGAGCUUUUUUUUUUCUUUUUAACAGAAAUUUAGUAUUUCAAUUGCCCCUCCUCCACAGCUAACAUCAGUGCCCUUUCUUCCUCCUCCCUUACCCCUCCCAGCUCAAACAAAUUAACAUUUGUACUAGGUACCUCCUAUCAGCUCGCAGCUUCUUCCCAAACACGCCCACGUACACUGAAACUGGCCUGCGUCUACAAAACACACAGCUACAGGAAAAGAGCUUGGGGGGGGGGAGCUGAGGAGGGGGAAUAAUCGCUCCGCACAGGUUUACGGCUAUUUUCCAGAAAUUAGCUCCUCGCUCAUGGCUCGCGUUUCUUCCAAAUCACCUCCAAAGCACGGUGUUUAUGAGCCUACCUAAUCCGAUACUGCAAUGGAAUUCCGGAUAUUUGCAGAUAGAUCUCCCGGCUUUGCAAGUGUUUGAUGAGAUACGUUCGGAAUCUCCUUUUUUCUAGAGCCCGGUUCCUGGCUGUACAGCAAGCCGACCUGAGGCUGCGGCCCCUGCCCCACACCCGGGCCGCGCGAUCGGCCCGAGGCCAGCGCAGGACGCAGCCCCUCCGGGGCCGGGGCUGGCGGGGCAGCUUGGGCUGCGGGCCGCUCUGCAACAGGUCACCCUGACCGCGAGUCCGCGGGUUCGCGGGCGGCCAACUCUGCGGCCAGGCUUCUGGGCGCAGCCGCUGGGGCCAGGGGAGGGGGUGUGGCCCGGCUUCGGCUGGUCCUGGCUCCGAGGUCCGGGAUCCGGCUCACCUGAAGGGAGGCUGACGCGCCGCUGGGCGUCAGAACAGCGCGGGUGGAGGCUGGGGGCUUCCGCCACCCAAGAGGGAGAGCGAGGCGGGUUCAAGGGGUCGCCGCGCCCCCGGCUUCAGGACGGCGCCCCCAAGCGGGGACCCCACGACCGCUCCGAUUCUGAGAACCCGCGGCCGAGGGAGGCGCGCCCCCCAGCGCCCCUCUACCUCAGCCCCAGCUCCGCAACCCCCUCCCUGCGCGCAGGGAGAGCAGCCCCGGGGCCCGCGGCCGGCAGAGCCACACUCCGCAGCGCCGCCGCCGCCGCCAUUCCCCGCGCCGCCCGGGGGGCGCCGCGCACCCACCCUCCCUCGCUCCCCCGCAUCGCCCCGCGGCCUGA